This 481-nucleotide ribosomal RNA is filed under the name uncultured bacterium. RNAcentral's name for it is "partial 16S ribosomal RNA". It matches the Rfam family "Bacterial small subunit ribosomal RNA", at positions 28 to 523 of the family's 1533-position model. The record is from RNAcentral.
GACGAACGCUGGCGGCGUGCCUAACACAUGCAAGUCGAACGGAGAUACGAUUUCGGUUGUAUCUUAGUGGCGAACGGGUGAGUAACGCGUGAGCAACCUAACUCUUAGAGGGGGAUAACACUCGGAAACGGGUGCUAAUACCGCAUAAGACCACGACAUGGCAUCAUGACGAGGUCAAAGGAGCAAUCCGCUGAGAGAGGGGCUCGCGUCCCAUUAGAUAGAUGGCGGGGUAACGGCCCACCAUGUCGACGAUGGGUAGCCGAGCUGAGAGGCUGAUCGGCCACACUGGAACUGAGACACGGUCCAGACUCCUACGGGAGGCAGCAGUGGGGAAUAUUGGGCAAUGGGCGCAAGCCUGACCCAGCAACGCCGCGUGAGGGAAGAAGGCUUUCGGGUUGUAAACCUCUGUCCUUGGUGACGAAAAAAAUGACGGUAGCCAAGGAGGAAGCCCCGGCUAACUACGUGCCAGCAGCCGCCGUAA